Non-coding RNA from Pimephales promelas (fathead minnow), 324 nucleotides. NCBI's taxonomy places the organism in Eukaryota, Metazoa, Chordata, Actinopteri, Cypriniformes, Leuciscidae. The record is from RefSeq and is a predicted model, not a curated record.
ACUAAACGACACAAGGAUAACAUAAUUUUAUAAGUGUUUACAUUGCCUGACUCAGAGGAUCAGCAGGAAGUAAGAACACAGACAGAAGAAUAUUAGACUACGAUGUGGAAUACAGUCGAAAAGCUCAUUACUGAGCUGUGUUAUGGAAAAGGAUGCUUCCCCACUGAGCCAGCUGCUGAUGGCUGCUGGAAUCCUCCUAAAUAGUUUGAAUGACCGGAGUGGAAGAAGCCUCUCAACCCUGAACCUGCAAUCAGACUGUGUGCAGGGUCAGCGCUCCGUGCCGAACAUUGUUGCCAUGUGUCGCCUGUGAUCACGUCUGGCACU